AGUGAACGCUGGCGGUAGGCCUAACACAUGCCAGUCGAACGGCAGCACAGUAAGAGCUUGCUCUUACGGGUGGCGAGUGGCGGACGGGUGAGGAAUACAUCGGAAUCUACUUUUUCGUGGGGGAUAACGUAGGGAAACUUACGCUAAUACCGCAUACGACCUACGGGUGAAAGCAGGGGAUCUUCGGACCUUGCGCGAUUGAAUGAGCCGAUGUCGGAUUAGCUAGUUGGCGGGGUAAAGGCCCACCAAGGCGACGAUCCGUAGCUGGUCUGAGAGGAUGAUCAGCAAACGUGGAAGUAUGACAAGGUCCAGACUCCUACGGGAGGCAGCAGUAGGGAAUAUUGGACAAUGGGCGCAAGCCUGAUCCAGCCAUACCGCGUGGGUGAAGAAGGCCUUCGGGUUGUAAAGCCCUUUUGUUGGGAAAGAAAAGCAGCAGGUUAAUACCCCGCUGUUCUGACGGUACCCAAAGAAUAAGUACCGGCUAACUUCGUG
Molecule: ribosomal RNA, 492 nt
Filed under: uncultured bacterium
Lineage: Bacteria
Description: partial 16S ribosomal RNA
Rfam family: Bacterial small subunit ribosomal RNA
Source: RNAcentral